AUUGAUUCGUAAACCGAGUAACUUGUGAGACGGCGUAGUUAUACGGCAUCAAAGAAAGACCAAAGCUGUUUUCGAAUAAUUUGGUAUUUGCCUGCAGGAAAAACAAGGAAAAGUGCUUACCUUUUUAAAUCUCAAAAACAAAGUAUAUACAAUAAACACAAACCUUACGAUCGGCAGCAGUAUUUGUACUGGACCCAGCUUGAGAAAUGACGGAGACUUUUCGUUGACGCCUAUGUCCGUGGUUGCUGUUGUGAUUGUGGUUGUGGUGUCGUUGCGUGGUCACGACGCUACAUGUGCCUCCCGCCUCCUGGGGGGCUAGGUGGCCCACCCCCACCCCCACACCACCCUGGCUACCA
Long non-coding RNA from Athalia rosae (coleseed sawfly), 356 nucleotides. RefSeq lists it as uncharacterized. The record is from RefSeq and is a predicted model, not a curated record. The transcript has 2 exons. NCBI's taxonomy places the organism in Eukaryota, Metazoa, Arthropoda, Insecta, Hymenoptera, Athaliidae.